Molecule: ribosomal RNA, 301 nt
Filed under: uncultured bacterium
Lineage: Bacteria
Description: partial 16S ribosomal RNA
Rfam family: Bacterial small subunit ribosomal RNA
Source: RNAcentral
CAGCCGCCACGGUAAUACGAGGGGGGCGAGCGUUGUUCGGAAUUAUUGGGCGUAAAGGGCGCGUAGGCGGUUUGACAAGUCUUAUGUGAAAUCUCUGGGCUCAACCCAGAGUCUGCAUGGGAAACUGUCGGGCUUGAGUAUGGGAGUGGUGAGUGGAAUUUCCGGUGUAGCGGUGAAAUGCGUAGAUAUCGGAAGGAACACCUGCGGCGAAAGCGGCUCACUGGACCAUUACUGACGCUGAUGCACGAAAGCUAGGGGAGCAAACAGGAUUAGAUACCCCGGUAGUCCCUGUCUCUUAUAC